GCGGACGUCAUAGGCAACAUCCACGAGUGCCGUGGGGAGGCGCUCUGGUUGCUGCGGAUUGACUACGAGGCCUCCGUCAAGAGCCUGGUAGGAUAACAAGGAGCACUAAACGAGAGCGAUGGGCAUCUUCUUCGACUCCAAGGUGGUUGGGUAUAGGUAAAGUGAGAAAGAAAGUAGAUGAAGAAGACAGAGGAAAGGACCAGAUAGCUAGUAGCUAGGUCAUUUUGCUGUGAUAAUGGUGAGUAGUAGUCGAGAUAAUAUUUGUAGGGAUGAUCAGCAGGUUUCGUAUGCCACGUUUGUGGUAUUUGUAGGAUGGGAUUGCUGGAGCUUUUUGUUGCUAUUGGGCAUCAGUAUUGCCUUAGCUGAAGCAUACGCGGAUUGCUUGGAUGGAAGUUGGAAGACCUGGGGGGAAUAGGCAAUGGAUGUGAUGAUAUAUAUACGCCUUGGUUGUUUGAAGAAUCUGUAUGCAGCUUUUGCUUUGUUUCUAGCUGUCAUGAGCAGCGGAGGUUUAAGAAUCUUGUAACUCCUCAUGAAUGUGUUGCGUAUGUAACUGUUGUCCCAGAUUUGGUUGAUGUUUACAGUUUGGUAUCUCUGUUUGAUUAUACCUCUGGCGGAGAUUGAUUGCGUGCGUGGUUUUGAAGUCCUCAAAGUUGAUCAUGUAAUUAAUGAUUGUUGCAUUUCUGUUCCUUUGGCUGUAAAUAUUAGUAAGUCGUAGAUUUGUGAAAAUUGUGAUGUAGCGAGACAGGAUGAUGUGCAAGGAAAUUUCUCA
Molecule: long non-coding RNA, 769 nt
Organism: Lolium perenne
Lineage: Eukaryota; Viridiplantae; Streptophyta; Magnoliopsida; Poales; Poaceae
Source: RefSeq, a predicted model, not a curated record